AUAAGUUCUGAAGGUUAGAGAGAAGAGACAGUCCAAUGAAACUUCUGCAGAGGUGAGGGGACAGGAGCUCAGGUCGAGGUGUGUUUCUGAAGGGACUCGGAGAUGUGAGAGAACUCACUAAGGAAAGGUGAUGAUGGAUGAGGCAUGGGGUGAGCUCAUCUGAACCAAGAGUUGCCUCACAGCAAAUGAGAUCUUCUGAUGAGUUGGGAUUUUCCACAGUCCCAACUACAGCACAUUCAGGGUCUUAUGGAAUCUUUCUCAUCGGGACUUCCUGGGAAGAUGGGAACAAAUGCCUAUUCACGUCAGAUAGGGCCCGGAUGACAGACAAGAGAGGACUUCUGGGAACUAUACAUGUGCACAAGGGGGUUCACGUGUAUGUAACACAUCUGACUUUUCCGUGUGCCUUCCAAGGGAUGGAACUUCGAUCCUCAUGUUUGUAUGAAGCCUUUACUGACUGAGACAUCUCCCCAUCCAUCCCUUUAAAGCAUCGUUGAUUCACAAUGUUCCUGUAGUUAGCCCUGCGGUCACAAUGCUGCCAGCAGAACUGAGUCUCUCCUCACUUUACGAGCUUUCCAGUUUUUCAUCUUGCUCAUUUUUCUUGAAGUGUCUUUCUUCCAGGUAUUUUCUGAUGCCUCGUGAGAGCAGAUAUGAGCCUGGGCUCCUACCUCUGUGUCACCUAGGACUCAAAUUGGGACACAUCUUGGUUUUCAGCUUCCUGUCCUUCCAAAUAAUACCAUGGUGUGAAAAUGCCAAGUUCAGCUCAGUGUUAUCUUUAUCUUCAAUGCCACCACCGUGUGAACAUGCCGUGUUCACCCACAGACUUUUCUCUUUAUCUUCAAGGAUCCUAUGAUCUUUGAGAUAUUCAGGGUGGGAAUAGCAGUAAGCCACGAGGAAGCUGGCUUUCUUUCCCACUGAACUUCUCCAGGCCUCAACGCAUCAUGGUUUUGUCUCGAGUCUGAUAAAUUCUGUAAGAGAUCCAACUUCUCCGAUUUCCUUGAAUUUAAGAUCAGCCCGAGACUGUGGUUCUCAGCCUUCAGAAUGUUGUGACUCUCUAACAGUGCUCCUCAUGUUGUGGUGACCCCAACCAUAAAGUUGUUUUCCUUGCUACUUCAUAACUGUAAUUUUGCUACUGAUAUGAUAUGAAUAUCUGACAUGCAGGAUAUCUAACAUGCAAUCCUUGUGGUAGGGUCAUCCAUCCCUCAAAGAGAUAUGACCCACAGGUUUACUAACAGCUGGCCUACAAGAUGGUAAUAGUCUGUCCCAGAGUAUUCGACUGAAUAAAUGGACAGUGAUAUCU
RNAcentral lists this long non-coding RNA (1297 nucleotides) under Mus musculus (house mouse). RNAcentral's name for it is "predicted gene 5086 (Gm5086)". Lineage: Eukaryota; Metazoa; Chordata; Mammalia; Rodentia; Muridae. The record is from RNAcentral.